AGCAGUUUGAUCAUGCGGGCGGCGACCGGCAAACGGGUGCGUAACACGUACGCAACCUUCCCGUUACUGGGGGAUAGCCCAGGGAAACUUGGAUUAAUACCCCAUAUUACAGAGUUCCGGCAUCGGGGCUCUGUCAAAGUUCCGACGGUAACGGAUGGGCGUGCGGUUGAUUAGGUAGUUGGCGGGGUAACGGCCCACCAAGCCUACGAUCAAUAGCUGAUGUGAGAGCAUGAUCAGCCACACGGGCACUGAGACACGGGCCCGACUCCUACGGGAGGCAGCAAUAAGGAAUAUUGGGCAAUGGACGCAAGUCUGACCCAGCCAUGCCGCGUGAAGGAUGAAGGUCCUCUGGAUUGUAAACUUCUUUUAUCUGGGGCGAAAAAAGGCCAUUCUUGGCAGCUUGACGGUACCAGAUGAAUAAGCACCGGCUAACUCCGUGCCAACAGCCGCGGUAAUACGGAGGGUGCAAGCGUUAUCCGGAUUCACUGGGUUUAAAGGGUGCGUAGGUGGGCAGGUAAGUCAGUGGUGAAAUCCUCGGGCUCAACCCGGGAACUGCCGUUGAUACUAUCUGUCUUGAAUGCCAUGGAGGUAAGUGGAAUAUGUCAUGUAGCGGUGAAAUGCUUAGAGAUGA
This 631-nucleotide ribosomal RNA is filed under the name uncultured Chitinophagaceae bacterium. RNAcentral describes it as "bacterial SSU rRNA". It matches the Rfam family "Bacterial small subunit ribosomal RNA", at positions 68 to 699 of the family's 1533-position model. Lineage: Bacteria; Pseudomonadati; Bacteroidota; Chitinophagia; Chitinophagales; Chitinophagaceae. The record is from RNAcentral.